UGUAUACUCGAUUCUGACCAAACUAAGCCUACUGAUGUAUAUUUUGCUCUAGGAGGCUUAGUUUGGUCAGAAUUGAGUAUGCA
Molecule: non-coding RNA, 83 nt
Organism: Podarcis lilfordi (Lilford's wall lizard)
Lineage: Eukaryota; Metazoa; Chordata; Lepidosauria; Squamata; Lacertidae
Source: the annotation of a GenBank genome assembly